RNAcentral lists this ribosomal RNA (1455 nucleotides) under uncultured prokaryote. RNAcentral describes it as "partial 16S ribosomal RNA". It matches the Rfam family "Bacterial small subunit ribosomal RNA". The record is from RNAcentral.
AUUGAACGCUGGCGGCAGGCUUAACACAUGCAAGUCGAGCGCGAAAGUUCUUCGGAAUGAGUAGAGCGGCGGACGGGUGAGUAACGCGUGGGAAUCUACCUAGUAGUGGGGGACAACAGUCGGAAACGACUGCUAAUACCGCAUACGCCCUAAGGGGGAAAGCAGGGGAAUCUUCGGACUUGUGCUAUUAGAUGAGCCCGCGUCAGAUUAGCUUGUUGGUGGGGUAAUGGCCCACCAAGGCGACGAUCUGUAGCUGGUCUGAGAGGAUGAUCAGCCACACUGGAACUGAGACACGGUCCAGACUCCUACGGGAGGCAGCAGUGGGGAAUAUUGCACAAUGGGCGAAAGCCUGAUGCAGCCAUGCCGCGUGUGUGAAGAAGGCUCUAGGGUUGUAAAGCACUUUAAGUGGGGAGGAAAGGUUGUAGAUUAAUACUCUGCAACUGUGACGUUACCUACAGAAGAAGCACCGGCUAACUCCGUGCCAGCAGCCGCGGUAAUACGGAGGGUGCAAGCGUUAAUCGGAAUUACUGGGCGUAAAGCGCGCGUAGGCGGCUACAUAAGUUGGAAGUGAAAGCCCCGGGCUCAACCUGGGAACUGCUUUCAAAACUGUGUGGCUUGAGUACAGCAGAGGAUAGUGGAAUUUCUAUUGUAGCAGUGAAAUGCGUAGAUAUAAGAAGGAAUACCAGUGGCGAAGGCGGCCCUCUGGACUGAUACUGACGCUGAGGUGCGAAAGCGUGGGGAGCAAACGGGAUUAGAUACCCCGGUAGUCCACGCCGUAAACGAUGUCUACUAGCCGUUGGGAGACUUGAUCUCUUAGUGGCGCAGCUAACGCAAUAAGUAGACCGCCUGGGGAGUACGGUCGCAAGAUUAAAACUCAAAUGAAUUGACGGGGGCCCGCACAAGCGGUGGAGCAUGUGGUUUAAUUCGAUGCAACGCGAAGAACCUUACCAAGACUUGACAUCCUAGAAAUUUAGCAGAGAUGCUUUAGUGCCUUCGGGAAUCUAGUGACAGGUGCUGCAUGGCUGUCGUCAGCUCGUGUUGUGAAAUGUUGGGUUAAGUCCCGUAACGAGCGCAACCCUUGUCCUUAGUUGCUGCAGGUAAUGCUGGGAACUCUAAGGAGACUGCCGGUGACAAACCGGAGGAAGGUGGGGACGACGUCAAGUCAUCAUGGCCCUUACGACCUGGGCUACACACGUGCUACAAUGGACAGUACAAAGGGUUGCCAAGCCGCGAGGUGGAGCUAAUCUCAUAAAACUGUUCGUAGUCCGGAUCGGAGUCUGCAACUCGACUCCGUGAAGUCGGAAUCGCUAGUAAUCGUGAAUCAGAAUGUCACGGUGAAUACGUUCCCGGGCCUUGUACACACCGCCCGUCACACCAUGGGAGUGGGUUGCACCAGAAGUAGGUAGCUUAACCUUCGGGGGAGCGGUCACCACGGUGUGAUUCAUGACUGGGGUG